This is a non-coding RNA of Protopterus annectens (West African lungfish), 73 nucleotides long. NCBI's taxonomy places the organism in Eukaryota, Metazoa, Chordata, Ceratodontiformes, Protopteridae. The record is from the annotation of a RefSeq genome assembly.
GGUUCUGUAGUGUGGUGGUAAUCACAUCUGCCUAUCAUGCAGAAGGUCCUGGGUUUGAUCUCCAGUGGAACCA